ACGCUGGCGGCAGGCCUAACACAUGCAAGUCGAGCGGUAGAGAGAAGCUUGCUUCUCUUGAGAGCGGCGGACGGGUGAGUAAUGCCUAGGAAUCUGCCUGGUAGUGGGGGAUAACGUUCGGAAACGGACGCUAAUACCGCAUACGUCCUACGGGAGAAAGCAGGGGACCUUCGGGCCUUGCGCUAUCAGAUGAGCCUAGGUCGGAUUAGCUAGUUGGUGAGGUAAUGGCUCACCAAGGCGACGAUCCGUAACUGGUCUGGGAGGAUGAUCAGUCACACUGGAACUGAGACACGGUCCAGACUCCUACGGGAGGCAGCAGUGGGGAAUAUUGGACAAUGGGCGAAAGCCUGAUCCAGCCAUGCCGCGUGUGUGAAGAAGGUCUUCGGAUUGUAAAGCACUUUAAGUUGGGAGGAAGGGCAUUAACCUAAUACGUUAGUGUUUUGACGUUACCGACAGAAUAAGCACCGGCUAACUCUGUGCCAACAGCCGCGGUAAUACAGAGGGUGCAAGCGUUAAUCGGAAUUACUGGGCGUAAAGCGCGCGUAGGUGGUUUGUUAAGUUGGAUGUGAAAUCCCCGGGCUCAACCUGGGAACUGCAUUCAAAACUGACUGACUAGAGUAUGGUAGAGGGUGGUGGAAUUUCCUGUGUAGCGGUGAAAUGCGUAGAUAUAGGAAGGAACACCAGUGGCGAAGGCGACCACCUGGACUAAUACUGACACUGAGGUGCGAAAGCGUGGGGAGCAAAC
RNAcentral lists this ribosomal RNA (745 nucleotides) under uncultured bacterium. RNAcentral's name for it is "bacterial SSU rRNA". It matches the Rfam family "Bacterial small subunit ribosomal RNA", at positions 33 to 773 of the family's 1533-position model. The record is from RNAcentral.